This 332-nucleotide ribosomal RNA is filed under the name uncultured eukaryote. RNAcentral describes it as "partial 18S ribosomal RNA". It matches the Rfam family "Eukaryotic small subunit ribosomal RNA", at positions 1470 to 1796 of the family's 1831-position model. The record is from RNAcentral.
CCCUUAGAUGUCCUGGGCUGCACGCGCGCUACACUGGAAGUUACGGAUUGAGAUACUACCUUGUCCGAAAUGGUCCGGGUAAUCACCUAAAAGCUUGUCAUAAUUGGAAUGGAUUAUUGUAACUAGUAAUCCUGAACGAGGAAUUCCUAGUAAGUCCCAGUCAACAGCUGGUACUGAUUACGUCCCUGCCCUUUGUACACACCGCCCGUCGCUACUACUGAUCGGACGUUUAAGCAAGAUUUUUAAACACUGACAGUGUGUAGUUCACGCUAUACUACAGUGAGAAGAAGAAGAUCGAGCUUACUUGUCUAGAGGAAGUAAAAGUCGUAACA